UGUAAAGGCAUAUAGCCGGAAGGGAGUUGAGAGAGAAACUCAUUUUACCAGGGAGAAGAUGGAAUGAGGCUGGGAACUGGAGAGAGCUAAUAGCAUCAUCUUUCCUGCUGUUUGGGUGUGACCACAGAGGCAGCCACGGUUUCUGUUUUCACGCAACCUCCCUGCUGAAUCUUGCCAUCCUGCAUCAUCGAGUGGCGCUACAACCACCCACAGCCAAGUGUAGCCAGGUGACAGAAGUCCAUCUGGAUGUAAUCUUCCUGAGAAGCAGUCAGAGAUCCAAGAAGUGGCAGAUGCACAGAUGUAGAAAUUCUCAUCCCGUGUCAGUGAGAUUGCAAGUUUGGAUUCUCCGUAGAGCUCCACAUUUGGGAUAGUCACUCACCCAGCCAAUAAUAACAUCUUUUCAGGUCCGUGAACGUCGCUACACCUUCCUGGGCUCAAAAGAGCCAAGCAAUCUAAUCACAUGCUAGUCUCUGGGAGAUGGAUAAUGAGAAAAGUCAGAGGUGCUCUGUCUUCAUCCUGGUGACCUCUACUGGAGAGCUUAAUUAAAAUGUUAGGGAGGGUGGGAGGGAGGGAGACGCAAGAGGGAAGAGAUAUGGGAACAUAUGUAUAUAUAUAUAACUGAUUCAUUUUGUUGUAAAGCAGAAACUAACACACCAUUGUAAAGCAAUUAUACUCCAAUAAAGAUGUUUAAAAAAAACCAAGAAGAUGUGGCACAUAUAUACAAUGGAAUUUUACUCAGCCAUAAAAAGAAACGAAAUUGAGCUAUUUGUAAUGAGGUGGAUGGACCUAGAGUCUGUCAUACAGAAUGAAGUAAGUCAGAAAGAGAAAGUCUAGUACCGUAUGCUAAAACAUAUAUAUGGAAUUUAAGGGAAAAAAAUGUCAUGAAGAACCUAGGGGUAAGACAGGAAUAAAACACAGACCUACUAGAGAAUGGACUUGAGGAUAUG
Molecule: long non-coding RNA, 947 nt
Organism: Lagenorhynchus albirostris (white-beaked dolphin)
Lineage: Eukaryota; Metazoa; Chordata; Mammalia; Artiodactyla; Delphinidae
Exons: 3
Source: RefSeq, a predicted model, not a curated record